This 235-nucleotide non-coding RNA is filed under the name Oscillibacter sp. RNAcentral's name for it is "T-box sequence". It matches the Rfam family "T-box leader". From Rfam's summary of the family: Uncharged tRNA acts as the effector for transcription antitermination of genes in the T-box leader family. T-boxes are found upstream of many aminoacyl-tRNA synthetase genes and some amino acid biosynthetic genes usually in Gram-positive bacteria. Lineage: Bacteria; Bacillati; Bacillota; Clostridia; Eubacteriales; Oscillospiraceae. The record is from RNAcentral.
UUAACGACAUUGAUGGGAAGAAAGGCGAAAUGUCCCGCCUUCAGAGAGCCGGCGGCUGCUGCGAGCCGGUGGGGGACCUUCGCGGAUGACUGUUCCCGGAGUCUCCCGCCUGAACGGACAUAGUAGGGUGGGACGGCAGGCCCCGUUACUGGCCGAGGCCCUCCGGGCCGUUGAGCGCCAUCCGGCAACGGCUGGCGAAACCAGGGUGGUACCGCGUAGCUUUUACGCCCCUGAC